This 346-nucleotide ribosomal RNA is filed under the name Ephoron sp. BYU IGCEP190. Its description in RNAcentral is "SSU rRNA". It matches the Rfam family "Eukaryotic small subunit ribosomal RNA", at positions 1469 to 1808 of the family's 1831-position model. The record is from RNAcentral. Lineage: Eukaryota; Metazoa; Arthropoda; Insecta; Ephemeroptera; Polymitarcyidae.
GCCCUUAGAUGUUCUGGGCCGCACGCGCGCUACACUGAAGGAAUCAGCGUGUCGUUUUCCCUGGCCGAAAGGCCCGGGUAACCCGCUGAACCUCCUUCGUGCUUGGGAUCGGGGCUUGCAAUUGCUCCCCGUGAACGAGGAAUUCCCAGUAAGCGCGAGUCAUAAGCUCGCGUUGAUUACGUCCCUGCCCUUUGUACACACCGCCCGUCGCUACUACCGAUUGAACGAUUUAGUGAGGUCUUCGGACCGGGGCGUGGAGCUCCGCUCGCGGUGCGACGCUGCCUCCGGAAAGAUGACCGAACUUGAUCGUUUAGAGGAAGUAAAAGUCGUAACAAGGUUUCCGUAG